AUUGAACGCUGGCGGCAUGCCUUACACACGCAAGUCGAACGGCAGCACGGGUGCUUGCACCUGGUGGCGAGUGGCGAACGGGUGAGUAAUACAUCGGAACAUGUCCUGUAGUGGGGGAUAGCCCGGCGAAAGCCGGAUUAAUACCGCAUACGAUCUACGGCUGAAAGCGGGGGACCUUCGGGCCUCGCGCUAUAGGGUUGGCCGAUGGCUGAUUAGCUAGUUGGUGGGGUAAAGGCCUACCAAGGCGACGAUCAGUAGCUGGUCUGAGAGGACGACCAGCCACACUGGGACUGAGACACGGCCCAGACUCCUACGGGAGGCAGCAGUGGGGAAUUUUGGACAAUGGGCGAAAGCCUGAUCCAGCAAUGCCGCGUGUGUGAAGAAGGCCUUCGGGUUGUAAAGCACUUUUGUCCGGAAAGAAAUCCUUGGCCCUAAUACGGUCGGGGGAUGACGGUACCGGAAGAAUAAGCACCGGCUAACUACGUG
RNAcentral lists this ribosomal RNA (486 nucleotides) under uncultured bacterium. RNAcentral's name for it is "partial 16S ribosomal RNA". It matches the Rfam family "Bacterial small subunit ribosomal RNA", at positions 30 to 507 of the family's 1533-position model. The record is from RNAcentral.